AAUUGAAAGGCCUGGAACGGCCUGCCAUAGACGGUGACAGCCCGGUAAAUGAAAUUCUGCUGACUCCGACGGGUACCCUGAGUACCGCGGGACACGUGAAAUCCCGUGGGAAUCUACGAGGACCAUCUCGUAAGGCUAAAUACUCUCUAGCGACCGAUAGUGAACCAGUACCGUGAGGGAAAGGUGAAAAGCACCCCUGUGAGGGGAGUGAAAGAGUUCCUGAAACCGUAUGCCUACAAGCAGUGGGAGGGCUAUGCCGGACUUCGGUCCGGAAUGCCUGACCGCGUGCCUUUUGCAUAAUGAGCCGGCUAGUUAUUCUCAGUGGCGAGGUUAAGCGUAAGCGAGCCGCAGCGAAAGCGAGUCCGAAAUGGGCGUUCAGUCGCUGGGAAUAGACGCGAAGCGAGGUGAUCUACCCUUGGCCAGGAUGAAGUACGGGUAACACCGUAUGGAGGUCCGAACCAGUGUUGGUUGAAAACAGCUUGGAUGAGCUGAGGGUAGGGGUGAAAGGCUAAUCAAACCUCGUGAUUGCCCGUUCUCCUCGAAAUGCUUUUAGGAGCAGCCUCGGGAGGUCGGCGUUGGUGGUAGAGAACUGGAUGGACUAGGGGGCUUACCAGCUUACUGAAUCCAACCAAACUGCGAAUGCCAACGACACGUAUCCCGGGAGUGAGACGGUGGGGGCUAAGCUUCAUCGUCGAAAGGGAAACAGCCCAGACUACCGGCUAAGGUCCCUAAGUGUGUGCUAAGUGGUAAAGGAUCUGGAGACGCUUAGACAACCAGGAGGUUGGCUUAGAAGCAGCCAUCCUUUAAAGAAAGCGUAAUAGCUCACUGGUCAAGCAGCCCUGCGCCGACAAUAUAACGGGGCUCAAACCACGUACCGAAGUUUCGGAUUCAUGUAGCAAUACAUGGAUGGUAGGCGAGCAUUCCGUAGCUGUGAAGCGGUACCGAAAGGGCCGUUGGAGCGAUCGGAAAAGACUCUGUCGGCAUAAGUAGCGAUAACGCGGGUGAGAACCCCGCGCGCCGUAAACCUAAGGUUUCCUGAGUAAAGUUAAUCUGCUCAGGGUUAGUCGGUACCUAAGGCGAGGCCGAAAGGCGUAGUCGAUGGAAAUCCGGUUAAUAUUCCGGAACCACUAACGUGUGCUGUGGGAGGACGCAGUAGGGUAGGCGAGACGGCGGAUGGAUGUGCCGUUGAACUCACCAUAGCCCGCCGCUCAGGCAAAUCCGGGCGGCAUCAGGGUAAAGGUAGGGACGAAAGUAGGGGUAAAACCCGAAAAAAGUCGCUGACCCCAGCUGCCAAGAAAAUUCUCGUUCAGCUAUACACGCGACGUGACCGUACCGCAAACCGACACAGGUAGGUGGGGUGAGAAUCCUAAGGCGCUUGUGAGAACUCUCGUUCAGGAACUCGGCAAACUAGCCCCGUAACUUCGGGAAAAGGGGUGCCAUCCUCCGGGAUGGUCGCAGAGAAAUGUCCCAGGCGACUGUUUACUAAAAACACAGGUCUCCGCAAAGUCGUGAAGACGACGUAUGGGGGCUGACGCCUGCCCAAUGCUGGAAGGUUAAGAGGAGUGGUCAGCCGCAAGGUGAAGCUACGAAUCGAAGCCCCAGUGAAUGGCGGCCGUAACUAUAACGGUCCUAAGGUAGCGAAAUUCCUUGUCGGGUAAGUUCCGACCUGCACGAAUGGCGUAACGAUCUGG
RNAcentral lists this ribosomal RNA (1691 nucleotides) under soil metagenome. Its description in RNAcentral is "bacterial LSU rRNA". It matches the Rfam family "Bacterial large subunit ribosomal RNA", at positions 331 to 2012 of the family's 2925-position model. The record is from RNAcentral.